This is a long non-coding RNA of Glossina fuscipes, 3083 nucleotides long. RefSeq lists it as uncharacterized. The record is from RefSeq and is a predicted model, not a curated record. The transcript is spliced from 3 exons. Lineage: Eukaryota; Metazoa; Arthropoda; Insecta; Diptera; Glossinidae.
UUGUAAACAUUUUCCUGGCCGCAAAAAUGAAGCUAUCGACUUCAAGUUUGACAGAGGCAAACGAAGGUCUUGCACACAUGUUAGCGACAUAUCCUUGCAGUCAACGAUCAGUGAUGCUACGUAGUUUCUAAAUGACUUGAAAAAAAUGUGUUUUUUUCUGGGAUAUGGAGUAUGAGUGUACUUAGUCAAAAAAAUAGAUCUUUUUCGAACAACUUUUCAGAUCGUACAGGUCUUAUCAGAGUCUUUUGCUAAUAAUAAUUUAGAGAAUUUGAACAGUGCAAAGCAAUAUAUAAAUCUUAUUCUUUGAAUAUAAAAAUCGAUUGUAUAAGUUUUUCAUCUAAAAUUGGGUUAAUUCCAAUUUUCUCUUAAAACACAUCGAUGUGUUAUGUUAACUUUUCCAUUAUGCUUGCAAUGCAUGGAUAUCAAUUCUUGGUCACGGAUAUCGACUGACGCGUACUGAGUCGAAAUCAGCUAUGUCUGUCUGCACUAAGUUGACUCGCCAACGUCCGUCUGUCUAACUAACCGUUGUUAGGGCUUAUAGAUAUUCAGGGCUAUUAUAAUAUUUUGAACAGGCUUAGUAAGAUCUGUGUAAGCAACGAUUGAAAAACUUGUCACGAGGUGCUAAACCGUUUCAGCAACGUCCAUCUGUUUAACCAUUAGUUGUCACAGUUCUUACUAUUCCGGUACUUACAGUAGCAAAGCGAGUCAUCAGCAUAAGCUUGUGCAACGAUCUUUUAUGACGGUUCACGGAACACCAAAUCUAAAGAAAGACGUAUUGUAAUCAAAGCGUUAUUGUCAAUAAUUUGCGGUUAAUAGCAGACGUUAACGUGGCAUUUACCAGAAAUGUUAAGAAAUUUAAAGACUUUAUUUCGAAUUGCUGCUGUCCAUAAGGUACCUGAGAGUGGCUGCAAACCUUAUAUAACUUUUUCGUUUCAUUUUCACUAUGAUUUGUCUUUUUUUUUGUUUUUUGUUUACACUUAACGCCUACACAAAAAAUUCUCAAGGCAUUCUUCAUUUCCAUAAUAUAUUUUCGGACUUUUAAAAGAAACCUGAAAUUCUGCCUCAAACCGCCCCUCAAAAAAAAAAAAAAAACAAUCUUAUUAACAUAGCAGCCAAUCAUAUGCAUUCCAUUCAAAUCUUGAGAAUUUUACUGAUAAUAUUAAACUUGAAACUGUAGUUCAUUUGUUUUCAUCUCUAAAUUAUUAAUUUAUGAAAUUUAUGGCCAUUAAUUUUUAGUAACAAAGGAAAAGGGAAAAAAAGAAAUGAAAAACUAGAGUAAGCCAAAAAGCAACUGCUUUCGUCUUGAAGUUAGCUGAAGGCGAUUUAUCGAUCCUCUACCAGCUUAGAUCAGCGGCGUCCUCAAUAGCAAAUAUAGAGGUAGGGAGAUUGUUAUCUUAAAUUAGAUUUCUCUACGUAUUUCUAGUUCCAAGGGAAAAUAUGUUGAAUUUAAUCUUAGGAAGAUUUGAUGAAUCUUUUAGCUUGCCUUUGUCCUACACUUUGCUUCCAAUGACUUGUUGAUUUCUUCUUUUCCCUCGAUGAUGGUUGUAGGUCCCAGGCCUACCAUGGGCCUUCGGGCUUCUCUAUUGAAUAGACAGCCAUUCCAUUUAUGCCCAGAUUCCCAAGUUAGAUGCAAUCUCAUUUCUGCCUUCUUAGCUCAUUCAGGCGCUGAAGGCACUCCAGCACAAGCCUAGAGGUGAUUGUAUGACUUUUCAUGGUCUUUAGAACAACUUUAUUAUCAGAGUGAAUGGCAGCAUAAGUAAGAAUGUUUCUUUUCUUUCUUAUUUAUUUAUAUUAUAAUAAAUCACUAGAGUUUUAAAUAAAAUUAAAUUAAGAGCAAGAAAUUUUGCUUAGUAUGCAGAAAAGUUUACAAAGAAUUACUUCCUGCACGAGCACUACAUAUAACGUUCAAAAUAAUUUGCAUAAACUUAUGAAUUUUUGUCUCUUUCUGUUAAAGCACUGUUUAAAGUUUAAUGAAACUAUAAAAUAAUUUGACAUUUUAAAUAUUUUACAUUCGUACGCAAUCAUGUUUUUUUAUAAAUCAUUUUGGAUUAAAAUUCGUAUUUAAUCAAAGUCAUUCGCUUAGGUUAAUAAUAGUAAUAAUAGUUUUUUUUUCUUUGCUUUUUUAUGCUUAAUACCGGAAGAUACAUGUAUACACUCUUAAACGAUCCAUUUAUAACACUUGCUUUUACGCCUCGCUCGCACUCACUUUUUAUACUCAAAAAAGUCAACGAAUACGGUGCUCAUAGUUGCUCAUAUACCAAAUUAUUCGCAAUCGGCGGAGUGACUUAAAUGUGAAAAAAAUCAUUUUUGGAACUGUAUGUAAGAUUGUACUUAAAAGUAGUGCUUCCUUAUCUAUCAGCUCUGCUUAAAGAUAAAUAAAAAUUUCUCAGAAAAGUUUGACUUCAUUUUCCAGGAGUAUCGUUCCUCUUUUUCACCUAGAUCUACGGAGUGGAAUCAAGAAUGUGGAAUAUGAAAGAGUUGCAAUCUCUGCUUAAAAAGAAGCGUUUUUCCGGCGGUUAAUUUCCUUUUUAUUGGCGUCUUAGAGAAUGCCUUGGCCGCGUUCUUCGCACAGCCUGGUGCGGCAUUGUUAUGCCUAAAAUCGUAAAAUGCGUUUUAGAAAGAGAAGAAACUCACGCGAAGUACGCUUGCGCGGAUAUCUCCCCUCGUGGAUGCCAUAACUCUAAGUUGUCGAAAUAAACUUUUUCUUCGAAAUCUUCCAGUUUUCACUCAAUCGUGUCAGAUUUCCUAGCAGGCUUGGUAUCAUAAGAAGACUUUUUUCUCAAUUUUUUAUCAAUUUGCUUAAAAAAAUUUGCCCUUGGAAGCAAAUUUAAAUUAUUUAUCCAUACUUGCAGGGGGAACAUCUGAUACUUUCUUGACAAUUUAUUCAGAACAUCUAUAUCAAGCUUUCAUACUCAGAUCCGCUUCGUUAUUCUAAUUGAGGACGUAACACAUUACCCAGGCAUUUUCGAUUAUAAUAAAUGGAAUGAAGAAAGUAAUAUACCGCCACACCCUGGAGUUGAUGUAAUAAUAAUUAAAAAUGUAUUUCAUGUAUAAUAAAAAUAUAAAAAAAAAAACUUGUGUGA